GACGAACGUUGGCGGCGUGCUUAAUACAUGCAAGUCAACUGAAGCAGUGGUAGCAAUAUCGCUGUGGAGGUGGCGCACGGGUGAGUAACACGUAGGUAAUCUGCCUUCAGGUCUGGCAUAACUCCGGGAAACCGGGGCUAAUAGCAGAUGAUGCAGCGGCUCGACAUCGAGACAGUUGUUAAAGCUAUGGCGCCUGAAGAUGAGCCUGCGUCUGAUUAGCUAGUUGGCGGGGUAACGGCCCACCAAGGCAACGAUCAGUAGCUGGUCUGAGAGGAUGAUCAGCCACACUGGAACUGAGACACGGUCCAGACUCCUACGGGAGGCAGCAGUAAGGAAUAUUGCUCAAUGGGAGAAAUCCUGAAGCAGCAACGCCGCGUGAGGGACGAAGGGCUUUUGCUUGUAAACCUCUGUAGUGAGAGAAAAAAAUCACAAUCUUUGGGACAUGAUGGUAUCUCAAAAGUAAGCCCCGGCUAACUACGUG
RNAcentral lists this ribosomal RNA (481 nucleotides) under uncultured bacterium. RNAcentral's name for it is "partial 16S ribosomal RNA". It matches the Rfam family "Bacterial small subunit ribosomal RNA", at positions 28 to 507 of the family's 1533-position model. The record is from RNAcentral.